UGGGGAAUAUUGGACAAUGGGCGAAAGCCUGAUCCAGCCAUGCCGCGUGUGUGAAGAAGGUCUUCGGAUUGUAAAGCACUUUAAGUUGGGAGGAAGGGCAGUAAGCGAAUAUCUUGCUGUUUUGACGUUACCGACAGAAUAAGCACCGGCUAACUCUGUGCCAGCAGCCGCGGUAAUACAGAGGGUGCAAGCGUUAAUCGGAAUUACUGGGCGUAAAGCGCGCGUAGGUGGUUCGUUAAGUUGAAUGUGAAAGCCCCGGGCUCAACCUGGGAACUGCAUCCAAAACUGGCGAGCUAGAGUAGGGCAGAGGGUGGUGGAAUUUCCUGUGUAGCGGUGAAAUGCGUAGAUAUAGGAAGGAACACCAGUGGCGAAGGCGACCACCUGGGCUCAUACUGACACUGAGGUGCGAAAGCGUGGGGAGCAAACAGG
Molecule: ribosomal RNA, 429 nt
Filed under: Pseudomonadota bacterium
Lineage: Bacteria; Pseudomonadati; Pseudomonadota
Description: Proteobacteria bacterium partial 16S ribosomal RNA
Rfam family: Bacterial small subunit ribosomal RNA
Source: RNAcentral